Long non-coding RNA from Gallus gallus (chicken), 1023 nucleotides. NCBI's taxonomy places the organism in Eukaryota, Metazoa, Chordata, Aves, Galliformes, Phasianidae. The record is from Ensembl.
AUCUUGUUGGAUAUCUUGGAUGUUUUUCUGUUCCUGAGGCCUGUGGAAGGUAUGCAACAUAAUUCAGCUGUCUGUGUGUGAGAAGGGUAUACAAGAUAUUGGAAAAAUAUAUUUUUUGCCCUUUUUCUGUUACAACUUAAAAUGUGAAAUGAUCAUUCAAGUUGAUAUAGUUCUGAGAAUGGGAGAGUUCCUCCAGCCCUCUGCAUAUCCUGAUGGUUCUCCUCUUCCUCAAGGUCCAUGUCCUUUUUAUGAUGUGGGUCACAAGGUUGAAAGCCUUAUGCCAGGCAGUGAGGCACAUACAUCAGUGGAAUGGGCAUGAAAAUCUCAAAGCAGCUUGGCAUCCCUGGGCUUCUUGCUGCACAAGAAGUAAAGAAGAACUUGACUCUGCUCAGCAACAACUAAAAUGCACGUGUGCUAUUAACAUCCUUCUCAAAUUUGAAACAUAGUACCAUAUGUGCCUCUAUGAAGAAAAUUAACGCUAUCCCAGCUUAAAAAAAAAAAAAAAAGUUAUACUUCAGAAGGUCUCCUCACUGCCUCUGUUAGGAAUCAAGUUACAGUAAUGUCACUAUGUUGCUGCUGCUGACUAAGUAAUUAAUCAGCUCACUGACGUUUGUUUUCUCACCCAUAUAUGAAGUCUCAUUUCCAGUAUACUUUAAAAAUAAUCAGUAGCAGGUGACACUUUUGUGGGACCAAAAGUAAACAAACAUGUAAACAAUAUCACAGUAUCACGGACCUACAAAAAUGUAAAACAUUCAUGAGAAUAGAUAAAAAUGUGGCUUUGGCUGUAGGAAUCCAAUCCUCCCUAUUUUUAGAGAUUCUAUACAUGGAGGAUUUAAUUCUUAAUUUCUAAACCAACUUUAUUGGAAGAUAUUUAAUGUUACAUAGGAUUUUAACUUAGAAAAAUGUUAUAGCAAUGUACUGAAAUAACUAUUUAAGAAUAGUUAAUACUAUUCUUAUUUAUACUGAAUAAACACUUAUUUAUACUAAAUAAGCACUAUAUUUAUACUAAAUAAACACUUAAAU